This 250-nucleotide ribosomal RNA is filed under the name uncultured bacterium. RNAcentral describes it as "partial 16S ribosomal RNA". It matches the Rfam family "Bacterial small subunit ribosomal RNA", at positions 524 to 773 of the family's 1533-position model. The record is from RNAcentral.
AACGUAGGUGGCAAGCGUUAUCCGGAUUCACUGGGCGUAAAGCGCACGCAGGCGGCCUGGUGGGUAGGGCAUGAAAUCUCCUGGCUUAACUGGGAGAGGUUGUCCUAUACCGCCAAGCUUGAGGAUGGGAGAGGGAAGUGGAAUUGCCGGUGUAGUGGUGAAAUGCGUAGAGAUCGGCAGGAACACCAGUGGCGAAGGCGGCUUCCUGGCCCAUUCCUGACGCUCAGGUGCGAAAGCUAGGGGAGCGAAC